RNAcentral lists this ribosomal RNA (455 nucleotides) under uncultured bacterium. RNAcentral describes it as "bacterial SSU rRNA". It matches the Rfam family "Bacterial small subunit ribosomal RNA", at positions 340 to 786 of the family's 1533-position model. The record is from RNAcentral.
UACGGAAGGCAGCAGUGGGGAAUAUUGCACAAUGGGCGCAAGCCUGAUGCAGCCAUGCCGCGUGUAUGAAGAAGGCCUUCGGGUUGUAAAGUACUUUCAGUCGUGAGGAAGGUGUUAAGGUUAAUAACCUUAGCAAUUGACGUUAGCGACAGAAGAAGCACCGGCUAACUCCGUGCCAGCAGCCGCGGUAAUACGGAGGGUGCGAGCGUUAAUCGGAAUUACUGGGCGUAAAGGGCACGCAGGCGGUUAAUUAAGUUGGAUGUGAAAUCCCCGGGCUUAACCUGGGAAUGGCAUUCAAGACUGGUUAGCUAGAGUCUUGUAGAGGGGGUAGAAUUCCGAUGUGUAGCGGUGAAAUGCGUAGAGAUGUGGAGGAAUACCGGUGGCGAAGGCGGCCCCUGGACAAAGACUGACGCUCAUGUGCGAAAGCGUGGGGAGCAAACGAGGGAUUAGAUACC